RNAcentral lists this long non-coding RNA (226 nucleotides) under Numida meleagris (helmeted guineafowl). Its description in RNAcentral is "lncRNA (ENSNMEG00000020965.1)". The record is from RNAcentral. Lineage: Eukaryota; Metazoa; Chordata; Aves; Galliformes; Numididae.
CUGCUGACAACCUACUGGGUUAUAGAGCCCUUGGGGCCCUCCUACAUGCCUAACACAGCAGAACUGGACAUGGUUGCUGCAACCCUCAUUUAAAUACCGACAAAACCAGGCCUGCUGGACACUAAGGAGGCAGAAAAAACUACACGGAGCAGUUUGUUGGGUAUACAUGAACCUAAUGCACUUCUUGAGGUCUACUGCUGGAAGUUUUCUUCUUUUGAGUACCUAA